AAUUAGAUGUCUGGCUUACGUAGGAGCUGAUCUGUCGUCAUUGUAGAUUGUCACAUGGCUGGGCUGCGUUAGCUAGCAAGCUUCCUGGAGCCUGCUCCACUGUCUUCAAGCCAUCCUACAAAUGCCAGGGCUUAGCGCUUUUGCUAUUGGAAGCACCCAUCUGCAAGGGCAAAUGUUGGUUGUGAAUAAUUAUUCUCAUCACCAGUAGAGAACGCUGAAGUUGCUGACGCUAGUUCAGGUUCCUUGAAUUCUCCCAAUUUACCUGACAAUCCUCUUAACAUUUCACAGGUGUUUCCAGAGCUACUGUGUCUGCAGAAGUUCCAGAAAGCUCAUGGUGAAGAGUCUGCUUUCACCUGUCAGAUUCAAGCCCAUUAAAUGAUUUGAGGAAAUGAAAAACAAGUGAUCCUUUUAGAGUUGUCAACAACUGGCCUACAGUCUAGCUUGAAGCUUUUGGUAACCCCACCAGCUACAGCUCUGGACAAGCCAAAGAUUGCCAGAAGGAUACAUGUUGCCUUUGAAACUGCAGCCUUUGACCUGGUCUUAGACUUCCACUUCUGAACUGACUAAAACAGUGAGAGCACAUCCUCAGGAUGGUGGGGACCUGGCUUGCUACACUUUUGCUGCAUUUCAGAGCCAGCAAACAGGAGGAGAUGACUGCCACCAUCCUCCUGUACUUCUGUGAGAGAUACUAUUGACCUGCACCUUUCCCUUGGGUCAACAAUUUAAAGACAACUGCUGCUUGAUGGUGCAUGCAAAAGGAAUUAUUAGUCUUGGUUCUGGCCUAAGUGUCUGAAGACUGAGACCUCCGCUGGCCCCACACGGAAGACCAAGGUCUGACAGAAGCACUAGCCAAAGAGAAGUCCCAACAGGUCAAGGGAAGGGGCAUUGCAAACUAAUAAACUCCGUUACUACGAGGAGAACUUUGUUCAACUUCUGACGCCAGAAAGGACAGCCUGGACUGGCAGGUAAAUCUCCCUGCAGAUAGCGGAAAUAGAGGUUAGAGCACCAUAUUUAUCUCUGGCUACUUAGUAAACAGUGAGAUACUGCAAAAAGAGAAUUGGAGAUUUAGCAGCAGGAAGGUGUCAUUGA
RNAcentral lists this long non-coding RNA (1089 nucleotides) under Falco tinnunculus (common kestrel). RNAcentral describes it as "lncRNA (ENSFTIG00000015085.1)". Lineage: Eukaryota; Metazoa; Chordata; Aves; Falconiformes; Falconidae. The record is from RNAcentral.